CUCUAGUUGUUGUUGAUGAACAAACUACUCUCAAAUACAAACCAAUCUCAUCAAAUAAGAAACUGAUUCAAGUUGAUGGAGCUAUCAAGAAAGCAUAUGGUAGCGUCCAACUCUCGUUUCCUUGUUUACAUUGAAGUCAUAAUUCUUCUGUCAUUCUUCAGCUUGCCGGGUCUUAACUUGCUUGGUUUAGCAAGCCCUGUAGUUAGAGGAAAUGACAUUGAUCGACAAGCUUUACUCCAUUUCAAAUCAAAGAUAAUCGGAGAUCAACUUAAAGUUAUGGAGUCCUGGAAUAGUUCCAUUCACUUUUGCCACUGGCAUGGUGUUACUUGCGGUCGCAGGCAUCAAAGAGUCACCAAGUUGGAAUUGGAAUACCUGAAACUCACAGGAUCUUUAUCACCAUAUAUAGGAAAUUUGAGCUUUCUCAGGGAGUUCAGUCUUGCGGGCAACAACUUCUACAACCAGAUUCCUAGAGAAAUUGAUCGUUUGAGAAGAUUGGAAAUAUUAAUACUCACCAAUAACUCCAUUAGUGGUGAAAUUCCUUCCAAUUUAUCUGGUUGUUUUAAGCUCACAUAAGUUGAAAUAGAAGGCAACCAGUUAACAGGAGAAAUACCUACUUUCCUGGGUCUCUUGUCAAACUUGAAAUACUUGAGUUUUGCCUACAAUAGUUUGAGAGGGAGUAUCCCACCAUCGUUGGGAAACUUGUCAUCUCUGGAGACACUUGCUUUGACAAGAAAUUCAUUAAGUGGGAUUAUACCUGAAGCUCUUGAACAACUGACAGAUCUUUCAUAUUUCUCAAUAGAUGAUAAUGCAAUAUCUGGUACUGUUCCUGUCGCAAUGUUCAACCUAUCCAAUAUUAUAAUCUUUUCCAUAGGGGGAAACAAGAUUCAAGGUACUCUGCCUUCUGACUUAGCAAUUACUAUGCCAUAUGUUAAUUUCUUUUCUGUAAGAGAAAACCAAAUAUCUGGAAAAAUCCCUGUUUCAAUAUCCAACGCCUCAAAUCUGAAUAUACUACAAUUUGAGGGUAAUAGACUAGAUGGAGAUGUGCCUUCUUUAGAAAAGUUGGAUAAACUCUUUGCAAUGCUCCUAGAUGCAAACCAUUUGGGACAUGGGGGAGAAGGUGACUUGCACUUUCUUUGCACUUUAGUCAAUAAUACCAAACUAGAAGUGCUAGUUCUAAGUGAAAAUAAUUUUGGAGGGGUAUUUCCGGAAUGCAUUAGCAAUUUUUCUACCACCCUCUUACAUUUAGUAAUGGAAGAGAACAAAAUAUGGGGAAGAAUUCCUAAUGGCAUUGGAAAUCUCAUCAAUUUGGAGGUGCUAGGUAUAAGUCAAAAUCAACUAUCAGGUCCCAUUCCUAUUGAUAUUGGGAGGCUUCAAAAGCUAACGAUAUUUGAUGCUCGUUUAAAUUUUCUCAAUGGGACUAUUCCUUAUUCUAUUGGAAACUUAACAAUGUUAACCCUUGCUUUAGAUUUUAACAAUCUUCAGGGCAACCUUCCUUCAAGUUUAGGUGAAUGCCAAAAUUUGCUUGAAAUGGGUCUUUCUCAUAACAACCUUGGUGGACCAAUACCCCCACAAAUACUUGGACUACCAUCAAUGUCCAUUUCACUAGACUUAUCGUCAAGCAAUUUGACUGGUGACCUUCCUGUGGCAGUAGAACAACUAAAACAUCUAAGUGAAUUCCAUGUUUCCCAAAACAGGUUAUCUGGUUUACUUCCAAACAAACUUGGUAACUGUGUAAGCCUAGAGAAGUUGUUCUUGGAUGGCAACUUGUUUGAAGGGCCCAUUCCUUUGUCUUUGAGUUCAUUGAGAGGUCUUGAGGCACUGGACGUAUCUAACAAUAAUCUUUCAGGUCGGGUUCCGGAAUUUCUUGUGAGUUUUAGGGCAUUAAAGUACUUAAAUCUUUCUUUCAAUGAUUUUGAGGGAGUGAUACUAAGUGAAGGAGUCUUUAAGAAUGCAAGUGCUACAUUUGUUGAGGGAAACAAUAAGCUUUGUGGAGGCAUCCCUGAGUUACACUUGCUAAGAUGUAACUCGAAAACAUCUUCAAACACUUCCCUUAGAUUAAUAAUUGCAGUUGUUGUUGUGGUUUUAGGAGUGAGUUCGAUACCGUUUUUUGUCCUCAUCAUGAGGUUUAGAAAGAAGAAAGAGCAACAACCGACAACAACUUGUGCAGAAAAUUCGCUUCUACAGUUAUCAUACCUAAGCAUCCUAAGGGCAACUAACGGAUUCUCCAUGCAAAAUUUGGUUGGUUCAGGAAGUUUUGGCUUUGUAUACAAAGGUGUUCUUGAAGAAAAUGGAGCAUUUAUUGCAGUAAGGUGUUUAAUCUUCUGAAUCGGGGAGCUUCUAGGAGCUUCUUGGCUGAAUGUGAGGCCUUGAAGCACAUUCGACACCGAAAUCUGGUCAAGGUAUUAACAGCCAUUUCAGGUUUCGAUUAUCAAGGCAAUGAUUUUAAAGCCUUGGUUUAUGAGUUCAUGGAAAAUGGAAGCUUAGGGGACUGGCUGCAUCGAUCUACUGGCAUGCAUGAAUUGGAGACAACGAGAAAAUUGAACUUCUUUCAAAGAGUUAAUGUGGCCAUAGAUGUUGCCCAUGCACUAGAAUAUCUGCACCAUCAUGGCGAAACAUCGAUCAUUCAUUGUGAUAUCAAGCCAAGCAAUAUUCUACUCGAUGAGGAAAUGGUUGGUCAUAUAAGUGACUUUGGCUUAGCAAAAAUCUUUUUUGGAGACAAGCUUAACUAUUCUACUAAUCAGUCAAGCUCCCCUGGGUUAAGAGGAACUGUUGGUUAUGCUCCACCAGAAUAUGGCAUGGGAAGCGAGUUGUUAACAAAAGGUGACGUGUAUAGCUAUGGUAUCCUUUUGUUGGAGACGUUUACCGGAAAAAGGCCAACCGAUGAAAGGUUCAAAGAAGGUUUAAGUAUUCGCAACUUUGUUGAGGCAGCUUUGCCUGAACGAAUGAUCGAGAUUAUAGAUCCCAUUUUACUUCAAGAGAGAGUCAGAAGAGGAACAAUUGCCGACAUUAUUCUUAGUGGGAACAACUUGAGAAAUGAUAGACAUUUUUGGUGCUUGACUUCUAUACUUGAUAUAGGACUUGCUUGUUCUUUUGAAUCACCAAGUGAGCGUAUGGACAUGAGUGAUGUUGUUAUCAAGCUUUGUUCCAUUAGGUACAAGCUUUAUUCAACUCGAUUACGUAGAGAGGUUCAAACUUAAAUAUGCUGCUCAUCAACAGGAACCUUAGAUGCCAUAAGGAUGGAGUUGAGAGGCUUAGUUCAGGAAAAGGGCUUCUUUAUUAAUGUUUUGUAUAUUCAAAUAAGCUAAAAAAGCUAGUAAUGAAACAUUUGUUUUUUUAGUUUUCAAGUGAUAGUUUGGAAAAUGAGACUAAUAAUGUUGUUGAAUUUUAAGUCUACAACUGAUUGUAUGAGUUAUGCUAUUGGACAUGUCAA
Gossypium raimondii (Peruvian cotton) is the source of this 3430-nucleotide RNA transcript. It is a transcript of the gene named probable LRR receptor-like serine/threonine-protein kinase At3g47570, with no coding region annotated. NCBI's taxonomy places the organism in Eukaryota, Viridiplantae, Streptophyta, Magnoliopsida, Malvales, Malvaceae. The transcript has 3 exons. The record is from RefSeq and is a predicted model, not a curated record.